Molecule: transfer RNA, 68 nt
Filed under: Pseudobranchus axanthus (narrow-striped dwarf siren)
Lineage: Eukaryota; Metazoa; Chordata; Amphibia; Caudata; Sirenidae
Description: tRNA-Gly
Rfam family: tRNA
About the family: Transfer RNA (tRNA) molecules are approximately 80 nucleotides in length.
Source: RNAcentral
AUCCUUUUAGUAUAGUAAUACAAGUGACUUCCAAUCACUAAACCCUGACUUAAACUCAGGAAGGGAUA